RNAcentral lists this ribosomal RNA (732 nucleotides) under Bacillus pumilus. RNAcentral describes it as "bacterial SSU rRNA". It matches the Rfam family "Bacterial small subunit ribosomal RNA", at positions 38 to 754 of the family's 1533-position model. The record is from RNAcentral. Lineage: Bacteria; Bacillati; Bacillota; Bacilli; Caryophanales; Bacillaceae.
AGGGGGGUGCUAAUACAUGCAAGUCGAGCGGACAGAAGGGAGCUUGCUCCCGGAUGUUAGCGGCGGACGGGUGAGUAACACGUGGGUAACCUGCCUGUAAGACUGGGAUAACUCCGGGAAACCGGAGCUAAUACCGGAUAGUUCCUUGAACCGCAUGGUUCAAGGAUGAAAGACGGUUUCGGCUGUCACUUACAGAUGGACCCGCGGCGCAUUAGCUAGUUGGUGAGGUAACGGCUCACCAAGGCGACGAUGCGUAGCCGACCUGAGAGGGUGAUCGGCCACACUGGGACUGAGACACGGCCCAGACUCCUACGGGAGGCAGCAGUAGGGAAUCUUCCGCAAUGGACGAAAGUCUGACGGAGCAACGCCGCGUGAGUGAUGAAGGUUUUCGGAUCGUAAAGCUCUGUUGUUAGGGAAGAACAAGUGCAAGAGUAACUGCUUGCACCUUGACGGUACCUAACCAGAAAGCCACGGCUAACUACGUGCCAGCAGCCGCGGUAAUACGUAGGUGGCAAGCGUUGUCCGGAAUUAUUGGGCGUAAAGGGCUCGCAGGCGGUUUCUUAAGUCUGAUGUGAAAGCCCCCGGCUCAACCGGGGAGGGUCAUUGGAAACUGGGAAACUUGAGUGCAGAAGAGGAGAGUGGAAUUCCACGUGUAGCGGUGAAAUGCGUAGAGAUGUGGAGGAACACCAGUGGCGAAGGCGACUCUCUGGUCUGUAACUGACGCUGAGGAGC